AGUGAACGCUGGCGGUAGGCCUAACACAUGCCAGUCGAACGGCAGCACAGUAAGAGCUUGCUCUUACGGGUGGCGAGUGGCGGACGGGUGAGGAAUACAUCGGAAUCUACUUUUUCGUGGGGGAUAACGUAGGGAAACUUACGCUAAUACCGCAUACGACCUACGGGUGAAAGCAGGGGAUCUUCGGACCUUGCGCGAUUGAAUGAGCCGAUGUCGGAUUAGCUAGUUGGCGGGGUAAAGGCCCACCAAGGCGACGAUCCGUAGCUGGUCUGAGAGGAUGGUCAGCCACACUAGAACUGAGACACGGUCCAGACUCCUACGGGAGGCAGCAGUGGGGAAUAUUGGACAAUGGGCGCAAGCCUGAUCCAGCCAUACCGCGUGGGUGAAGAAGGCCUUCGGGUUGUAAAGCCCUUUUGUUGGGAAAGAAAAGCAGCAGGUUAAUACCCCGCUGUUCUGACGGUACCCAAAGAAUAAGCACCGGCUAACUUCGUG
Molecule: ribosomal RNA, 492 nt
Filed under: uncultured bacterium
Lineage: Bacteria
Description: partial 16S ribosomal RNA
Rfam family: Bacterial small subunit ribosomal RNA
Source: RNAcentral